RNAcentral lists this long non-coding RNA (718 nucleotides) under Cricetulus griseus (Chinese hamster). RNAcentral describes it as "lncRNA (ENSCGRG00015037963.1)". The record is from RNAcentral. Lineage: Eukaryota; Metazoa; Chordata; Mammalia; Rodentia; Cricetidae.
CCCUUGGCUACCCUAACAGUCAAGAACAAAGUUCCCACAACAAAGGCGGCUGUGAGGAGGGAGCUUCUCCACCUAUUUGCAUAGAGAGGGAACAGGUGCCUCUCAGCCGAGAAACCACUGAAGGAAAUUCUGACUUCCGGCAAUCUUCUGAUUGGAGGGGUUGGACAAGAUGUUGGGUCUUGAAUAGGGACAGUUUCAAUGACAAAUGCUGCCACCUGCAGGUGGAAGGUGAAACUGGACUGUUCAGAACCGCAAUGUUUGGAAACCUCCAGCCAAGUUUGGUCAACUUCAAGGCGAUGUUACACUUUCUUUAGUUUGAAGUGUACUCUAUCAGCAUGCACCUGUGAUUUCCGAGUCUGUGUUGCUGGAGAGAUGGCUCAGCGGAUAAGAGCUCUGACUGUUCUUCCAGAGGUCCUGAGUUCAAUUCCUGGCAACCACGUGGUGACUCACAACCACCUUGAAUGAGGUCUGCUGCCCUCUGCUGGCAUGCAGGCAGAAGACUGUAUACAUAGUAAAUAAAAUCUUAAAAAAAAAAAAAAAAAAAAAAAAAGGAAUCUGGGCACACAGGACAAGACAUAUCCACAGUUGCAUGAUUGGCAGGUGGCAGAAGUGGGGGAAGGGGUUGAACCUAAACACUGCUCUGAGAUGUGUUCUAAAAUUUUUUUAAAGAUUUUAUUUAUUAUAUAUAUACCACAUUCUGCUUCCAUGUAUAUCUGCA